This 1542-nucleotide ribosomal RNA is filed under the name Triticum aestivum (bread wheat). Its description in RNAcentral is "partial small subunit ribosomal RNA". Lineage: Eukaryota; Viridiplantae; Streptophyta; Magnoliopsida; Poales; Poaceae. The record is from RNAcentral.
AUGGCUGCCUCUGCCGCACUCGUUUUUGCAGGGAAAUCCGUGGCGACUUCGGCCAUAUCCUUCUUGGUCAACAAGGCUUUCAGCUACAUCGAUGAGUACUGCAAGUCCGAAAACAUGGAUGAGUUGAAGAAUCGGCUCCUACGGGCCAUGCCAUAUAUCCAGGCGGUGUUCGAUGUCGUCAACCCGGAACUUGUCAGGGAGCAAAGCAGCGGCCUCGACGCGUGGCUCUGGCAGCUCAGGGACGCGGUCGAGGCCGCUGAGGACGCCAUCGACGAGCUUGAAUACUACGAGCUCGAGGAGAAGGCCAAGGACCAAAAGGUUAGUGAAUGGGGUUCUCCUCUUGGUAAGAUGAAGCACAAGUUUGUCAGAUCUUUUGGCCCUGCUGUCAACAAGACUCUCAAGAAAAUUAGUCACCGUGACACACUGAAGAGAUUGAUGAAAUCUGUGGAUGAUUUAGACAAGGCUGCCACAGGUGUUAGUGAUUUCCUCAAGCUCACAGACCAUCUCAGUGGAGGUUCUUCUACCAGCAGUCAGCAGAAAGUGCAGAAGCUCAUGGACAAUGAUCGCCAGACUAGUUCAAUAUUAAGUGCAACCAUUUUUGUUGGACGAGAAAAGGAGAAAGAACAGAUUAUUGGAUGGCUAACCAACACGUCAGAUGAAUUGGGAGAAACUAGGGUCAGAAGGACCUAUAGUAUUCCAAUUAUUUCAGUUAUUGGUCAUGGUGGCAUGGGGAAGACUACCUUGGCUCAGAGCAUAUGCAAGCAAGAUGAGGUACUAAAGCAUUUUAAGGUCAUCUGGACCACCAUAUCUACUAGCUUUGAUGCGACAUCGGUGACAAGUAAAAUACUGGAAGACGCUACGCGCGUGAAACCGAGCAGCGAUCAUUUGGAACCACUACAACGGGACCUCAAAGAGAAACUCACAUCCAUUAAUUUUUUGUUAGUUCUAGAUGACGUUUGGGAAGAUAAGAAGAGAGAUGAAUGGGAGAAGUUAUUUGCUCCUCUUAAGGAACUGAACACGACUGGGAGCACAAUUCUGUUGACAAUCCGAAUGCAAUCUGUAGCAGACAUGGCUGCAAAGGUGAUGGGAGUCGAAAGGGAUAAGUUCUUGACAUUACAAGGACUGGAAGAUGAUAAAAAUCUCAAGCUCUUCAAUCAUCAUGCCUUUUCCGGUUUGAAUCUAAGAGAUUCAUAUUUGAAGUUAAUUGGAGAACAAAUUGCAAAGAAACUGAGAGGAUGUCCCUUAGUAACGAAGGUUGUCGCUGAGCAUCUGCAAAGCAAUAUAACACCUGAAUACUGGAGGAAAUUCUUGCAUCAAGGAUUGGAACAUUUUAAAGGAACCGAAAAAGAUAUUAUGGAGGUUCUCAGAUUGAGCUAUUACCACUUACCAACAGAGCUACAGAUUUGCUUUCGGUACUGUUGCCUAUUUCCGCAGGACUAUAUAUUUGAAAAGAAAGUGUUGGUGCGAAUGUGGAUUGGUUCAGGAUUGAUUGCAAGUGGCAUUCAAUCUUUGGAGGAUACUGCAGAACAAUUCUUGGCUUAG